RNAcentral lists this ribosomal RNA (479 nucleotides) under uncultured bacterium. Its description in RNAcentral is "bacterial SSU rRNA". It matches the Rfam family "Bacterial small subunit ribosomal RNA", at positions 27 to 507 of the family's 1533-position model. The record is from RNAcentral.
GGAUGAACGCUGGCGGCGUGCUUAACACAUGCAAGUCGAACGAGAAUCAAUGGAUCAAGACUUCGGUCAAGUGAAGUUGAGGACAGUGGCGGACGGGUGAGUAACGCGUGAGGAACCUGCCUCGGAGUGGGGAAUAACAGUUGGAAACAGCUGCUAAUACCGCAUAAUGCAUACGGAUCGCAUGGUCUGUAUGCCAAAGAUUUAUCGCUCUGAGAUGGCCUCGCGUCUGAUUAGCUAGUUGGUGGGGUAACGGCCUACCAAGGCGACGAUCAGUAGCCGACCUGAGAGGGUGACCGGCCACAUUGGGACUGAGACACGGCCCAAACUCCUACGGGAGGCAGCAGUGGGGAAUAUUGCACAAUGGGCGAAAGCCUGAUGCAGCGACGCCGCGUGAGUGAAGAAGUAUUUCGGUAUGUAAAGCUCUAUCAGCAGGGAAGAAAAUGACGGUACCUGACUAAGAAGCACCGGCUAAAUACGUG